GCCACCAUUUAAAGAAAGCGUAAUAGCUCACUGGUCGAGUCGGCCUGCGCGGAAGAUGUAACGGGGCUAAACCAUGCACCGAAGCUGCGGCAGCGACAUGAAUGUGUUGUUGGGUAGGGGAGCGUUCUGUAAGCCGUUGAAGGUGAACUGUGAGGUUUGCUGGAGGUAUCAGAAGUGCGAAUGCUGACAUAAGUAACGAUAAAGCGGGUGAAAAACCCGCUCGCCGGAAGACCAAGGGUUCCUGUCCAACGUUAAUCGGGGCAGGGUGAGUCGACCCCUAAGGCGAGGCCGACAGGCGUAGUCGAUGGGCAACGGGUUAAUAUUCCCGUACCCGGUGUUACUGCGAAGGGGGGACGGAGAAGGCUAGGCUGGCCGGGCGACGGUUUGUCCCGGUUUAAGCGUGUAGGUGGGGUGACCUGGCAAAUCCGGUCACCUGUGAACACUGAGGCGUGAUGACGAGGCACUACGGUGCUGAAGUAGCUGAUGCCCUGCUUCCAGGAAAAGCCUCUAAGCACCAGGUAACAUUGGAUCGUACCCCAAACCGACACAGGUGGUCAGGUAGAGAAUACUCAGGCGCUUGAGAGAACUCGGGUGAAGGAACUAGGCAAAAUGGUGCCGUAACUUCGGGAGAAGGCACGCUGGCACUAGGUGAAGGGCCCCGCGCCCGGAGCCGAAGCCAGCCGCAGAUACCAGCUGGCUGCAACUGUUUAAUAAAAACACAGCACUGUGCAAACACGAAAGUGGACGUAUACGGUGUGACGCCUGCCCGGUGCUGGAAGGUUAAUUGAUGGGGUUAGCCGCAAGGCGAAGCUCUUGAUCGAAGCCCCAGUAAACGGCGGC
RNAcentral lists this ribosomal RNA (840 nucleotides) under Xenorhabdus japonica. RNAcentral's name for it is "bacterial LSU rRNA". It matches the Rfam family "Bacterial large subunit ribosomal RNA", at positions 1115 to 1934 of the family's 2925-position model. The record is from RNAcentral. Lineage: Bacteria; Pseudomonadati; Pseudomonadota; Gammaproteobacteria; Enterobacterales; Morganellaceae.